Molecule: long non-coding RNA, 877 nt
Organism: Lutra lutra (Eurasian river otter)
Lineage: Eukaryota; Metazoa; Chordata; Mammalia; Carnivora; Mustelidae
Exons: 3
Source: RefSeq, a predicted model, not a curated record
CGGCGACUAGGGGCGGGGCCAUGACUCACCCGAACCGCGCCCCCCGCCCGCGGACGAGCGCACGUGAGCGCGCGUCGCGCUGUUUUCUAAGUUUAGCUCGGCGGCUUCGGUGGGGUCGGGCGAGGCAGCUGCUAGAGGGGAUGCUCUGUCAAAAUGAGUGAAUUAACCAAGAGGAAGGCCUCAGAGCCUGGAAUCAGGGGCUCCAGCUAGUUGCAAAGGAAUAAAGCAUUCAGAAUCCAGACACAAGUUCUCCACGGGGGAGUACAUGCACUGUGCUUACUUUAAGGGGAGAGAGUGUCCAUCAUCUCACACCCAGGAGAUCUACCGUAACCACCAUGUCCACGACUUAGAUGUUGGAAGAGUCAUGUCUGCAGUCCUCCAGGGCAGCACGGUGCCCGUGAGGUAAGGUGCCCUGCUUUGCUCGGUAUCUUAGUAGAAAGGCACCUGCUCAGAAAACUGCCAGGCUCCUCUUCUCCCAGGGAGAAUCUGUGGUCCAGGGGAUCCCCUUCUGAAAGAAGGUCUGCUUAGAUUUGUCAGGGAAAGUCGUUAAGCAAUGCAAACAACAAAAAUGAGCCCCAAACCAAAGACCCUAAAAAAGAAGGAGAAGAAGACACUGGAAGGAGAGGCAAUUCUGUCUACCCAGCAGGCACCAAUCUCACCUCCAAUCAGAAGCCUGGAGUCAAAGCUUGUCUCUGAUACAGACUGGCUGUGUGGCUUUGGGGAGCUCACCCAACCUCUCUGAUUCUCCAAAAUUGUGCUUUGUAAAAUAAGCAUAAUGAUGCCAAUCUUCUGGGAUUAAGGAUUACAUUCGUAUGAGUUUCACAAAAUGGAAAAUGCCUUGUGAUUAUGGAGCGGAUUGUAAAUGUAUCUGCCUAAA